RNAcentral lists this ribosomal RNA (374 nucleotides) under Staphylococcus epidermidis IS-K. Its description in RNAcentral is "bacterial SSU rRNA". It matches the Rfam family "Bacterial small subunit ribosomal RNA", at positions 1 to 363 of the family's 1533-position model. Lineage: Bacteria; Bacillati; Bacillota; Bacilli; Caryophanales; Staphylococcaceae. The record is from RNAcentral.
UUUUAUGGAGAGUUUGAUCCUGGCUCAGGAUGAACGCUGGCGGCGUGCCUAAUACAUGCAAGUCGAGCGAACAGACGAGGAGCUUGCUCCUCUGACGUUAGCGGCGGACGGGUGAGUAACACGUGGAUAACCUACCUAUAAGACUGGGAUAACUUCGGGAAACCGGAGCUAAUACCGGAUAAUAUAUUGAACCGCAUGGUUCAAUAGUGAAAGACGGUUUUGCUGUCACUUAUAGAUGGAUCCGCGCCGCAUUAGCUAGUUGGUAAGGUAACGGCUUACCAAGGCAACGAUGCGUAGCCGACCUGAGAGGGUGAUCGGCCACACUGGAACUGAGACACGGUCCAGACUCCUACGGGAGGCAGCAGUAGGGAAUC